CUGUACCCGUUCCAGAUCCACAGCAUUGCUCUGUCAACCUUCGCUUCGCUCAUGGGACCAUUUGGAGGGGUUCUUUGCAAGUGGAUUCAAGCGUGCCUUUAAAAUUAAGGAUUUUGCCGACACCAUUCCUGGCCACGGAGGGAUCAUGGAUCGAUUCGACUGUCAAUAUCUCAUGGCCACGUUUGUGCACGUGUACAUGGCCAGCUUCAUAAAAGGGCCAAAUCCAGCCAAACUUCUGCAGCAGCUGCUGGUGCUUAGGCCAGACCAGCAGAUUCAGAUUUUUAAAGCGCUCCGUGACAGUCUGAUGGGAAAGGGACUCAUCCAGAAGGAAGACGACUUCGUGGGCAUUAUCCAACCCAAGCUCUCCUAGGUGGCCUACCUACGCACCAGGAUCCGUACGCACACGCUCAUAUUUAAAGGGACAUCGCAGGCCGCCUGUAUUUAUUAAGAUCAAAAGUCAUGCUCGGGAAUCACUUCAUCGUUUUCUUGGCAAUGCGACAUAGCGUGAUGUAUUUGCUCUGUACUUUUAAGUUGUUCUCGCGUUGCGAAAUUUAAGUGGGGAUUUCCCUUCGCUGUCAGAUUCGCAGGCCUCCACAGUGACCACAGUAACUUAACCUACCAGCUUGUUCAAGCAGCGUUUUAUAGCUUGGGGAUGUGAUGAUUGGUCAGCCGAUGCCAGUAGUGCAAUUGCAAAGUGCAGCAUUUAUCUUGCAUUAUCAUUCUGUGCUUCUCUGGUUUUGGCCAAUUCCGAUGGAGCAAUGGUUAUAUUGGAGCCUAUUUGCAGCAGUAUCCUUCACUCAAGCUCAUAAACAUUUAUUGAAAACAACUCUCUUUUGCUGUUUUUACACGAAGGCUUUGCGCAUUGAACUAUGCUGCAGCAAAUUUCAAUUUAAAGCUUUCGUGACUGCAGGGAUUCAUAUUCUUGGUUCUUUCGGUGAAGUCACGUAGAAAGAAGCAAGAAUAUGCUGUAGCAUUUACAAGGAAUUAAUUUGUUGCCUACGUGAUAACAUUCCCUUACUCUCGGAAGUAUAAAGUUAAAAUGUUUCCCGUAAUAUGCAACACAGAAUUAUUUUGUCAUUGACAUGCGCACUGUUUUUUCAACUGGAAAAAAGGCAAAAAGCAUUUUGGAAAGCAAGGGGGGGGGGGGUUCAGGCUUGCGUACAAAGAUGCAUCUUGGUUACUGGUCACAGGUAGUCGAUGAUGCCUGAUUAAUAUAAAGUAUCAAUAUUUAACACGCUGUCCAAUUUUACGAGCAAACCUCUUCCCCCCCCCCCCCCGUAUAAGAACGAUAAUACAGCACUUAUGAUUAUUUUGAACUCAAUAUGUGCAAAAUGUCUGGGAAGUGCAAUUGUUUAUCUUUGCUGCCCCCCCCCCCCCUCCCCAUAGCGGCUUGUUCCCUGUGUGAUAACGCAAUGUAACUCGAGCAUCAAUCUGCCAGUUGGGGAUAGGUGAUUGCUACGUUUGUAAUUCCAGUCGAGGUAAUUACGUUAUGUUUUGAAUUUUACAAAAUGUAGACUGACGGUUGGUGCUCAAUGUAGCCCCUUCUUUUGAUACAUUACCACGCGUGAACGUCCGAAUAAUGUAAUGCGCCCUGAUUGAGAAUGGCGCAGUCUUAUGCGAAAUAAUAAUUCGAAAAUUUUAUAUCUCGCGGAAAUAAAAAAACAAUCGAUGCCAGAGCCGAAUUGCAAAAUGCUCCAUGUAGCGUGCAUUCGAAGGCUUAUGCGUGCGUAAUUUAAGCAUGUGCAGUUGAUUUGGACCGUACUGAAGCAGUCUCUAAUGAGGUAUAAUUAGACUUACAGUAUAUCUGUGUAGCAUUGUGAUGAUAAUCAUUGACAUUUCUAAUUAGUGAUCAGGGCUUUGCAAUUUGAGUAGAGUAUAUUGCCCGUAGAUGUAAAGCUCUUCCCCCCCCCUCACUGCAAACCUUUCGUAUCCUGCUGUGUACACGGUAACAAUUUACCCCCAAUAAGCAUAUUAUCCUAGAAGUAGCCUGUGAUUGUAACGUGUACACUCGCAUGCACGGUACAGCAAGAUAUCAAACAUAUGGCUUGCACUUCUCAAAUGAAGUGUUUACAGUAACUUCUCAUUCUAUUAAACGAAUUCUCUGUAAGGCCGACGUCUUUACAAAAAUAAGAAAAUAUUAUGUUCUCUGAGAAAGCAUUGUGUGGUCAUGUGGUGGUGAGAGAUGACGUUUGUCAUCGGAGUGGUGAAAUGAAACGGGGUUUUGUAUAGCUGCCUCUCUUCAAAAUUCUUCCAACUUAAAACACGUUCACGUCACGUGACACCGAGUUUGAAAAGGCAGCUUUUACGCCUGGGAACAGGGUCUCUUGUAAGUAAAGCUCCAGCCCCCUCUGACCCUUGCGCUUACAAACUGAAUGUGUCUGGAUUCAAGUACUCGUCAGUGUAAGGAACUGCAAGUGUAGAUUGCUUCGUCGUGGAGGGGUGUCCUGAGACAUGGAAGCUCUCCAGCCAAGUUAACUAGAUGGUCCGUGUUCCCGCGUGCCACUAAUUAGCUCCAUUUCACACGAUAAUUGGUGGAUGGUUGGCAGUGUUAUCCUGAUUGUCUCCUGCAUAUUCACAACUGAAAACCAGUUUGCCUAGUUCGUUAUAUUGGUGCAUGGCAUGCCGGUGUUUACUGUGUUGAGUGUUCAGAAGUUAAAGCCGUGGGGCCAACCAACAUUAAUGCUCACACGUAUAACUGCUAAAUCUGAUGUAGUGGGUUUUUUUCUUACUUUAUACAGAUUGUUAUUUUUUAUUGAGGGGUAUGCACAAUGUGAAUAACAUGGCACUGUUUUAUAGAUUUUUCUUAAAUUUAUUGUAAUCUUAUUACUUUAAUCAUUGUUUUACUGUAUUGUCUGAUAUAGUUUUAUAUAUAUAAUUUCACUGUGCAAUGAAUGUAUCCUUGGUUUAGGGUGCAAGAUGUUACCAAAACGGGAUAUAACAUGGCCACACAUAACAUUUGGUAGAGGCGUUUACCUUUCAACUUUAAAGUGUGCAUUUGCAACCAAAUCAUUACAAAUUAUCUUCACAAAACAAUGUUAUUUGAGGCAUAUGUAAGUGUUGUUCCAUUCUUUGGACGUUACAGACUCGAAUAUAUUUUCAGAUAAAAGUUUGGUGGUGAUGCUACACAUUAGAAUACAUUUUCAGUUGAUGUCUCAAACGUUGCUCUUUGAUUUUGUAUAAACCUUGCUACUUGCUUCAUUUGCUUAUUUUCCCCAUUUACCGUGUUCUGUUUAGCUCUUUGCCAGAUUUUAUAUUUCCUUCUGCAGUAAAGCCGUGUGAAGAGGUCUAUAGCGAGUAAAUGGCUGUGACUCGGUUGUGAAUGUAACUGCUGAAAAAAACUAUUUGAAAUGCUAAAUGCCGCAGCUGUUUUAAUCCUCAUUUUCCAAUUUUUUUAUUUCUAAUUUUGACUGCAAAGGUAUAUUUGAUGCCAGCUGAACAAAAUUAAACACCAUCCACUAUAGUGUUGAACCAAAAAAAAUAAUUUUCCUAGCAUUUAAAUGAUGCUCCUAAAUUAAGCUAAGGUAAAUUAAUAUUUUACACCAGUUUAUUUAUGUUGUAAAUGAAAAUAAAAAAUAUAUAUAUUAAAUAUAUAGGUCUUAUCUUACUCCUUAGCUUGAAAGUACUUUGUGUGUAUAUAUACGCUGUGUCUUAUAUGUUGGAAGGCAAUUCAGGUGUUAAAAGUGAGUUGUAUCUGAUUUAAAAUGUUUUCCAUCAGCAGUUACUCAUUGCGAAUAAAUCACUCCACAGCUUGUGCUCUUGAGGUUUCACCACAUUAGAGCCCGUUUUCUCAGCCGAAAAAUAUCACAGUGAGUUCUCACAAUUGAUAUUACACUUGUCAAAAGGGUUUUCACGUAACUGAACACCCACUAGACUUCUUGGAUGUCUUGCAACAACUUAUUUUCGCUUCGUGUGCUUUUCAAUUUAAUGUUUGACUGAAACCGGCCUCUUCAUCUGUCCUACCAUCGUGAGCCUGAUGUGAAACCCAAGCUGAGAUAUACCAUAGGUAGCACUAGGAAGACCUCUUCACCACAAAGUACUGUAAAUCUGAUGGUGAAGGUGUUUAUUGUUCUUGUCAGUUAUUACGGGUAAGUAUUUCCAUCGCAUUUUAAGGGAAUUGUCAAGUUUUGGACUCAAGAAAAAAUUGACUUAAGAACGGUGGACUUAGGUCCAUACAUUUAAAAUUUUAUUUCGGCUAAAAGCGUUUGCGUGCAGUUUUGUUGAUAUUCCUGCUUAACUGUAUACACGACAUGAGGUAUAUAAAAUAGUAACAUUGCAAAUUACAGUAGACUGCUAUAUUUUGUGAUUGGGCCUCUUAUUAGGUAUGUUCAUGUUAGAGUUCUGUUUCUCUUGAUGCUUUGUCACUGCUAUAGAGUUCAGAGACGUUCACACGACGCAUAUAAUACCUGAUGAAUGAGGCCACUGUGGAAACCACGUGGAAUGUGGGUUGGUACACAAGACCAAAAAAACCCAGGUCUGUGCCAUUCAAUAUUCCAUAUCUGGUUUUCACAGCAGCCUGUAAAUGAGAAUAUUUAGAUAAACCCCUUUCCUAGCUGAUCCAUGAGAACAUAGUUCAUGUAAUGCAUUAGUGAUUGUUUUCUAAACAGACUGGUUAAAGAGUGUUCCUGGUUAAUGCCGUUGUGUGGGUCCCUCGACUAAACAGAUGUAAUCCAGUACAGUAUUCAUCAUAACAUCUGGGUUAAAUACAGCACAUGUUGGAAUAUAACAUUACUUUGUGUAUAGUAAUAUAUCAUUGUGUGUGGGUGUUACAAAGGUGCAAGAUGUGAAUGUACCAAUAAAGAUUACUAGAAU
Long non-coding RNA from Lethenteron reissneri (Far Eastern brook lamprey), 4809 nucleotides. RefSeq lists it as uncharacterized. The record is from RefSeq and is a predicted model, not a curated record. Lineage: Eukaryota; Metazoa; Chordata; Hyperoartia; Petromyzontiformes; Petromyzontidae.